Juglans microcarpa x Juglans regia is the source of this 158-nucleotide long non-coding RNA. RefSeq lists it as uncharacterized. Lineage: Eukaryota; Viridiplantae; Streptophyta; Magnoliopsida; Fagales; Juglandaceae. The record is from RefSeq and is a predicted model, not a curated record. The transcript has 3 exons.
ACACAUGCAUAUUUUCUUUUUCUCGUUGCUACCUGAAAGUUCUUCCUCGUUAAUGCUUGAUGCGUUAAUUGUUUCUUAAGUUAUAUGGUGAUCAAGAUGGGUUAUCCCAUAGAAGCAGUGAUUGAAUCUAAGUAGAAGGUUGGAUUUGAAGAUGAGAG